GUCCACACCGUAAACGUUGGGCGCUAGGUGUGGGGUCCAUGUAUGGGUUCCGUGCCGUAGCUAACGCAUUAAGCGCCCCGCCUGGGGAGUACGGCCGCAAGGCUAAAACUCAAAGGAAUUGACGGGGCCCGCACAAGCGGCGGAGCAUGCGGAUUAAUUCGAUGCAACGCGAAGAACCUUACCUGGGUUUGACAUGGGAAGUGUACCUGCAGAGAUGUGGGGUCCUUUUGGGCUUCUCACAGGUGGUGCAUGGCUGUCGU
RNAcentral lists this ribosomal RNA (260 nucleotides) under uncultured bacterium. RNAcentral describes it as "partial 16S ribosomal RNA". It matches the Rfam family "Bacterial small subunit ribosomal RNA", at positions 793 to 1055 of the family's 1533-position model. The record is from RNAcentral.